RNAcentral lists this ribosomal RNA (253 nucleotides) under uncultured bacterium. Its description in RNAcentral is "partial 16S ribosomal RNA". It matches the Rfam family "Bacterial small subunit ribosomal RNA", at positions 524 to 776 of the family's 1533-position model. The record is from RNAcentral.
UACGUAGGGUGCAGGCGUUAAUCGGAAUUACUGGGCGUAAAGCGUGCGCAGGCGGUUUGUUAAGACAGAUGUGAAAUCCCCGGGCUUAACCUGGGAAUGGCAUUUGGGACUGCAAGGCUGGAGUGUGGCAGAGGAGACUGGAAUUCCCGGUGUAGCAGUGAAAUGCGUAGAUAUCGGGAGGAAUACCGAUGGCGAAGGCAGGUCUCUGGGCUGACACUGACGCUCAUGCACGAAAGCGUGGGGAGCAAACAGG